RNAcentral lists this unclassified non-coding RNA (360 nucleotides) under soil metagenome. RNAcentral's name for it is "partial contains 5.8S ribosomal RNA, internal transcribed spacer 2, and large subunit ribosomal RNA". The stretch from base 1 to 120 matches the Rfam family "5.8S ribosomal RNA", at positions 35 to 154 of the family's 154-position model. The record is from RNAcentral.
GAUGAAGAACGCAGCGAAAUGCGAUAAGUAAUGCGAAUUGCAGAAUUCAGUGAAUCAUCGAAUCUUUGAACGCACAUUGCGCCCGCCAGUAUUCUGGCGGGCAUGCCUGUCUGAGCGUCGUUUCGACCCUCGCGCCCGGCUUCUGUCGGGGGCGGUGUUGGGGAUCGGCCACACCCUUCAGUGGGAGGCCGGCCCCUAAAUUCAGUGGCGACCACGCUGUAGCCUCCCCUGCGUAGUACUAAAACCACCUCGCAGGCGGAGAGCGGUGCGGCCCGCCGUAAAACCCCCCAACUUUCACAAGGUCGACCUCAGAUCAGGUAGGAAUACCCGCUGAACUUAAGCAUAUCAAUAAGCGGAGGA